UACGUAGGGGGCUAGCGUUGUCCGGAAUCAUUGGGCGUAAAGCGCGUGUAGGCGGUCCGGUAAGUCCGCUGUGAAAGUCGGGGGCUCAACCCUCGGAUGCCGGUGGAUACUGUCGGGCUUGAGUACGGAAGAGGCGAGUGGAAUUCCUGGUGUAGCGGUGAAAUGCGCAGAUAUCAGGAGGAACGCCAAUUGCGAAGGCAGCUCGCUGGGACGUUACUGACGCUGAGACGCGAAAGCGUGGGGAGCAAACAGG
RNAcentral lists this ribosomal RNA (253 nucleotides) under uncultured bacterium. Its description in RNAcentral is "partial 16S ribosomal RNA". It matches the Rfam family "Bacterial small subunit ribosomal RNA", at positions 524 to 776 of the family's 1533-position model. The record is from RNAcentral.